AGGCACAGUGGUGCAUGCCUAUGGCCCUAGCUACUUGGGAGACUGAGGCAGGAGAAUCGCUUAAGCCCAGGAGUUCUGGGCCAUAGUGCCCUAUGCCAGUUGGAUGUCCACACUAAGUUCAGCAUCAAUAUGAUAACCUCCUGGGAGUAGGGGACAACUGGUUGCCUAAGGAGGGGUGAACUGGCCCAGGUCAGAAAUGGAGCAAGUCAAAACUCUCAUUCUGAUCAGUAGUAGGAUCACACCUGUGAAUAGCUACUGCACUCUAGUCUGGGCAACAUAGUAAGACUCUGUCUUGA
Non-coding RNA from Gorilla gorilla gorilla (western lowland gorilla), 296 nucleotides. It matches the Rfam family "Metazoan signal recognition particle RNA". From Rfam's summary of the family: The signal recognition particle (SRP) is a universally conserved ribonucleoprotein. It is involved in the co-translational targeting of proteins to membranes. NCBI's taxonomy places the organism in Eukaryota, Metazoa, Chordata, Mammalia, Primates, Hominidae. The record is from Rfam.